AUUGAACGCUGGCGGCAUGCUUUACACAUGCAAGUCGAACGGCAGCGCGGGCUUCGGCCUGGCGGCGAGUGGCGAACGGGUGAGUAAUACAUCGGAACGUGCCCAGUAGUGGGGGAUAGCUCGGCGAAAGCCGGAUUAAUACCGCAUACGACCUGAGGGUGAAAGCGGGGGAUCUUCGGACCUCGCGCUAUUGGAGCGGCCGAUGGCAGAUUAGCUAGUUGGUGGGGUAAAGGCCUACCAAGGCGACGAUCUGUAGCUGGUCUGAGAGGACGACCAGCCACACUGGGACUGAGACACGGCCCAGACUCCUACGGGAGGCAGCAGUGGGGAAUUUUGGACAAUGGGCGAAAGCCUGAUCCAGCAAUGCCGCGUGUGUGAUGAAGGCCUUCGGGUUGUAAAGCGCUUUUGGCGGGAACGAAAAGGACUGUGCCAAUACCACGGUUCGAUGACGGUACCCGCAGAAUAAGCACCGGCUAACUACGUG
This 484-nucleotide ribosomal RNA is filed under the name uncultured bacterium. RNAcentral describes it as "partial 16S ribosomal RNA". It matches the Rfam family "Bacterial small subunit ribosomal RNA", at positions 29 to 507 of the family's 1533-position model. The record is from RNAcentral.